GAUGGACGCUGGCGGCGUGCCUAAUACAUGCAAGUCGAGCGAACAGACGAGGAGCUUGCUCCUCUGACGUUAGCGGCGGACGGGUGAGUAACACGUGGAUAACCUACCUAUAAGACUGGGAUAACUUCGGGAAACCGGAGCUAAUACCGGAUAAUAUAUUGAACCGCAUGGUUCAAUAGUGAAAGACGGUUUUGCUGUCACUUAUAGAUGGAUCCGCGCCGCAUUAGCUAGUUGGUAAGGUAACGGCUUACCAAGGCAACGAUGCGUAGCCGACCUGAGAGGGUGAUCGGCCACACUGGAACUGAGACACGGUCCAGACUCCUACGGGAGGCAGCAGUAGGGAAUCUUCCGCAAUGGGCGAAAGCCUGACGGAGCAACGCCGCGUGAAUGAUGAAGGUCUUCGGAUCGUAAAACUCUGUUAUUAGGGAAGAACAAAUGUGUAAGUAACUAUGCACGUCUUGACGGUACCUAAUCAGAAAGCCACGGCUAACUACGUG
This 497-nucleotide ribosomal RNA is filed under the name uncultured bacterium. Its description in RNAcentral is "partial 16S ribosomal RNA". It matches the Rfam family "Bacterial small subunit ribosomal RNA", at positions 28 to 507 of the family's 1533-position model. The record is from RNAcentral.